This 755-nucleotide ribosomal RNA is filed under the name Squamanita sp. Its description in RNAcentral is "partial large subunit ribosomal RNA". Lineage: Eukaryota; Fungi; Basidiomycota; Agaricomycetes; Agaricales; Squamanitaceae. The record is from RNAcentral.
CAAAUCAGGUAGGAUUACCCGCUGAACUUAAGCAUAUCAAUAAGCGGAGGAAAAGAAACUAACAAGGAUUCCCAUAGUAACUGCGAGUGAAGUGGGAAAAGCUCAAAUUUGAAAUCUGGCAGUCAAUUCUGGCUGUCCGAGUUGUAAUCUAGAGAAGUGUCAUCCGUACUGGACCAUGUACAAGUCUCCUGGAAAGGAGCAUCAUAGAGGGUGACAAUCCCGUCUUUGACAUGGACUGCCAGUGCAUUAUGUGAUGCACUCUCAAAGAGUCGAGUUGUUUGGGAAUGCAGCUCAAAAUGGGUGGUAAAUUCCAUCUAAAGCUAAAUACAGGCAAGAGACCGAUAGUGAACAAGUACCGUGAGGGAAAGAUGAAAAGAACUUUGGAAAGAGAGUUAAACAGUGCGUGAAAUUGCUGAAAGGGAAACGCUUGAAGUCAGUUACAUUGACUGGAAAUCAACCCUGCUCUUGCCGUUGGGUGUAUUUUGCCAGUUAAUGGGCCAGCAUCAAUUUUGGCCAUUGGAUAAAGAUAUGGGGAAUGUAGCAUUUAUUUACAAAUGCAUUAUAGCCUUGUAUUGUAUGCAAUGGUUGGGAUUGAGGAAUUCAGCACGCUUGAAAGGCUGGAGAGUGAUCUCACAUUCGUGCUUAGGAUGGCUGGCAUAAUGGCUUUAAUCGACCCGUCUUGAAACACGGACCAAGGAGUCUAACAUGCCUGCGAGUAUUUGGGUGGAAAACCCAURUGCGCAAUGAAAGUGAAA